UCCCCUACCUUCCUUCUUACAUCAUCAAAAAUACUACUCCAUUUUCAGAGUUUUGUUUUUGUUGAAUUGGGUAUCAAAUGGGGCGUUCAACUUGGAAGUAUCAAGUCUUCUUUUUGUUCUGUUUGAUCUUGCAUUCUCAACUUCCCUUUCCAUCGUCUCUCUCUUCUUCCUUGUCUUCAAUGCCACCAUGCUCUGCUCUACUCCAUUUUAGUAAGUCUUUUUCUCUUGACAAAUCUGCUUCUGCCUAUGAUCCUUCUUAUCCAAAAACAGCCAGUUGGCAGGAGGAUAAGCACUGUUGCACUUGGGAUGGGGUCGAGUGUGACAAAAACAAAAGCCAUGUGGUUGGCCUGGACCUUACUUCCAGCUGGCUUAUGGGCCACUUUCAUUCCAACAGUACCCUGUUUUUUCUUCCCAAUCUCAGGAGGUUGAACCUCGCUGACAAUAACUUCAAUUUCUCCCGAAUUCCUUCUGAGAUUGGCAACUUUAAGAGUUUGACUCAUCUUAACCUUUCUAAUUCUGUAUUUUCUGGCCAAAUCCCGUUUGAAAUCUCUCAGUUGUCUUCACUGGUUUCGCUUGCUCUUUCUUGGAAUGAGCUAUUAAUCGAAACUCCAGUAUGGAAAAGAGUCAUUGGUAACCUAACUCAGUUAAGGGAACUUAUUCUGGAUAGGACAAAUAUGUCCUCAAUUAGACCUAAUUCUUUGAUGAAUCUAUCCUCCUCUUUGACAACUCUUAGUCUCCGUUACUGUGACUUGCGGGGAAAACUCGAAAAUAACAUCCUCUUCCUUCCCAGUAUACAAACCCUUGAUCUGUCAGAUAAUAGUUUUAACGGUCUGUUGCCGUCAUCACUAUUCAACUUGCCGAAUCUCUCAACUUUAGACCUUCGGUACAAUCAACUUGUUGGUCCCCUUCCUAAUCACGUAAGUGGUUUGAAUCUAGUUGAUCUCUAUUUAAGUUCAAAUUUCCUAAAUGGAACACUGCCAUCUUGGUUGUUCAGUAUGCCAUCUUUGGAGACUUUGUAUCUUAAUCGUAAUCAGUUUGUUGGUGAGAUUGGUGAAUUCAAGUACAAUUCAUUGAAGGAUCUUGAUUUGGGUUAUAAUAAGCUACAUGGCUCUAUACCUAGGUCAGUAUCUAGACUUGUGAACCUUACUAGCCUAUCUCUCUCAUCAAAUAACUUGAGUAUUAUGUUGGGGUCUGAAAUGUUUUCAAAGCUCAAAAAUCUUGAGACUUUUGAUUUGUCAAAAAACUCAGUUAGCAUCAAUAAUAAUGUUGCCUAUGCCCUGCCCAAUCUUCAAUAUUUGAACUUGGCUUACUCCAAUAUCAGUGAAUUCCCAAUUUUCUUAAGACUGACAACAAAUUUACAAUCCUUAGACCUUUCCAAUAACCAAAUUUAUGGUCGAGUUCCAAGAUGGUUGGGGGAUGUGGGGAAGAAUUCAUUUAAUUAUGUUGAUCUUCGUAACAACUUGCUACAAGGACCAUUUCCCAUUCUAAAUUCUUCCAAUCUGCAAUUUAUCUUUUUCUCCAAUAACAAUUUAACAGGAGAAAUCCCUUCUUUAAUUUGCGAUGCAAUUUACCUUCGAGUUUUAGACUUGUCUCAUAACAACUUAAGAGGCAUGAUUCCUAAGUGUUUGGUAAACUUUACUGCCCUCUCAGUGUUAGAUUUGCGAAUGAAUAGCAUUCAUGGUACUAUCCCUACAAUAUUUGCCAAAGGAAAUAAUUUUAGGAAUAUUAACCUUAAUGGCAAUCAAUUGGAAGGGCCAUUGCCGCAAUCUUUGGUCAGUUGUACAGACUUGGAAGUUCUAGAUCUUGGAAACAAUAAGAUAAAUGGAGCCUUUCCUUACUGGUUGGGAAGUCUUCAGAAAUUGCAAGUUCUUGUCAUCAGAUCAAACAGAUUUCAAGGUCGUAUUCGCAAUCCUAAAACCAAAUUUCCUUUCCCAAAUUUGCGAAUCAUAGACAUCUCUAACAAUCAGUUUAAUGGUCCUUUGCCAAUAACAUAUUUUGAAUAUUUGAAAGCCAUGAUGAAUGUGGAUGAAAGUGGAGUUGCAAGGUCAUAUAUGGGAGAUAGUUAUUAUCAAGAUUCAUUGAAUAUCAUGAUGAAAGGGCAGUAUAUUGAGAUGGAGAGAGUCCUAACCAUCUUAACAAGCAUUGAUUUUUCAAACAAUAGUUUCGGAGGAGAGAUGCCAAAGAUAAUUGGAAGGUUUAAAUCACUCAAGGGGCUCAACUUUUCUUACAAUAACCUUAUAGGUUAUAUUCCAUCAUCAAUUGGAAAUUUGACCAAUCUUGAAUGGUUAGACCUCUCUUUCAACAAGCUCAGUGGGGAGAUUCCAAGUCAAUUGACAGAUCUAAUAUCACUUGAAGUCUUAAAGCUAUCAAAUAACCAACUCACAGGACCCAUACCUUCAGGAAAUCAAUUCAAUACAUUCAACAAUGAUUCGUACACCGAAAAUUUGGGAUUGUGUGGAUUUCCAUUGUCAAAAACAUGCGACAACCACAAGGCAAAGCAACAACCACCACCUACCUUGCAACAAGAUGAAAAUUUAGAGCAUGAAAAUGGGUUUUGUUGGCAAGCUGUAUCCAUUGGUUACGCAUGUGGAACAAUAUUCGGAAUGUUUAUGGGAUAUCUUAUGUUCAAAAUUGGAAAACCAAAGUGCCUUGUGAGGAUGGUCAAAUUAGAGCAGCAUAUCCUACUCAGAAGAUUGAAGAAGAAUGCCCACAAACAUGGUGGAAGAAGAUAACUGCUUCUAUGUUAAUUCUGAUAGUUGGUGUUGGAGGCCCAAAAUUUCCUCCACCUUGGAUGGGAGCUAGACAGAAUAGUAACAGUUAACCAAAUCCCAUAAUUACAGCUGAUUGGAAACCCCUUAAUUGAGCUGAUUGGGAAUCCCUUAAUUGAGCUGAAUACUCCCCCUCAAGGUGGAGCAUGUACAUGAGUAACGCCCAGCUUGCUGAUAAGAUGAUGAAAAGAAUCCUUACCCAAAGGCUUGGUAAAAAUGUCAGCAAUUUCGGUCACGGGAUCGAAUAUGACAAGUUUGGUAUGAAAAAAUAAAUAAAAUGUACAAGACGGGAUGUGCCCAAUAGGAAUUGGAAGCUCCAGUAAAAUUGCAGUGGAGAUGGUUUGGUGCUUAAUUUGGAAGGCAAAGGUCUCUAAUAAAGUUAAGAUGUUUGCAUGGAGAGCAUGUCAUAACAUUCUACCUGCAUGUGCCAAUCUAGUGAACAGAAGGGUUCUAACGCAGCCAUGAUGUCCAAGCUGCAAAUUGAAUGAGGAUGACAUGAUGCAUGUAUUAUGGAAUUGUGAAGAGGCACAAAGAAUUUGGUGCUGCAGAAAAGAGGUAAUUAGAGCUUGAAUUCCUAGACUUCGUUAGAAUAUUUUGGCCUGUAUUGGAGGAGGGCUGUGACAACACUGUGGAGCAAUUCCUGAUACUGUCCUGGAUGAUUUGGAAGGCAAGGAAUAAGUGGGUCUUUGAGCAGUCUACAAAACAGCCAAGUGUCAUAGCAGGUGAGGCUAUAGAAUUUUGGCAGGAAUUUCAAGCAGUCUGCAACUCAGGUAGUUCAACAACUCAAGCUGUAACAGGCCAACGUAUUAAUCUCACAUUGCAUUGGAAUCCUCCCUGUAAACCUAUGUACAAGGAAUAUUUUGAUGGUGCAGUUUUUGAGGAUUUACAUAGUAACAGGAGCGGGAGUCAUAAUCCGGAAUGAACAAGGAUUGCUCAUUGCAGUAAUGAGCUGAAAAGGAAGACCAGUUAUGGAGAGCUUUGUAGCAGAACUUGAGGCUGCAGUCCAAACCAUUCGGUUUGCUCGUGAUGUUGGCAUACAGAGGGGACAAGUUUUAGUGGGGGAUUAUAGCAAAACUUCAGGAACACGGAAACUGUGAGUUUUGGUGGGCUAACGUUGUGAAGGAAGCUAAAUUUCAUCUGCAACGUUAACAUGUUCAGCAAUGGGAAGUUCGUUAUACUAGAUACUUAUUUUGGCAAGAUGUGCACAUAAUAUUGAAAAUUAUGUAACUUGGAUAGAAGAGGCCCCAUUAUUUUUGUUUGAACGGUUGAACAAUGAUGUACUGGGUUUGAAUGUUUCAACAUGCUACUUGUUUGGUUUUCCAAGGAAAAAAUGGAAGCAUAAAUGGAAGCAUAUCACAUUAAUUCUACU
Quercus robur (English oak) is the source of this 4137-nucleotide RNA transcript. It is a transcript of the gene named receptor-like protein 9DC3, with no coding region annotated. The record is from RefSeq and is a predicted model, not a curated record. NCBI's taxonomy places the organism in Eukaryota, Viridiplantae, Streptophyta, Magnoliopsida, Fagales, Fagaceae. The transcript has 5 exons.